This 585-nucleotide ribosomal RNA is filed under the name uncultured bacterium. Its description in RNAcentral is "partial 16S ribosomal RNA". It matches the Rfam family "Bacterial small subunit ribosomal RNA", at positions 355 to 1375 of the family's 1533-position model. The record is from RNAcentral.
UGGGGAAUUUUGGACAAUGGGCGAAAGCCUGAUCCAGCAAUGCCGCGUGUGUGAAGAAGGCCUUCGGGUUGUAAAGCACUUUUGUCCGGAAAGAAAUCCUUGGCUCUAAUACAGUCGGGGGAUGACGGUACCGGAAGAAUAAGCACCGGCUAACUACGUGCCAGCAGCCGCGGUAAUACGUAGGGUGCAAGCGUUAAUCGGAAUUACUGGGCGUAAAGCGUGCGCAGGCGGUUUGCUAAGACCGACGUGAAAUCCCCGGGCUCAACCUGGGAACUGCAUUGGUGACUGGCAGGCUAGAGUAUGGCAGAGGGGGGUAGAAUUCCACGUGUAGCAGUGAAAUGCGUAGAGAUGUGGAGGAAUACCGAUGGCGAAGGCAGCCCCCUGGGCCAAUACUGACGCUCAUGCACGAAAGCGUGGGGAGCAAACAGGAUUAGAUACCCUGGUAGUCCACGCCCUAAACGAUGUCAACUAGUUGUUGGGGAUUCAUUUCCUUAGUAACGUAGCUAACGCGUGAAGUUGACCGCCUGGGGAGUACGGUCGCAAGAUUAAAACUCAAAUGAAUUGACGGGGUCAUAGCUGUUUCCU